RNAcentral lists this ribosomal RNA (681 nucleotides) under uncultured Micrococcus sp. RNAcentral describes it as "bacterial SSU rRNA". It matches the Rfam family "Bacterial small subunit ribosomal RNA", at positions 786 to 1462 of the family's 1533-position model. Lineage: Bacteria; Bacillati; Actinomycetota; Actinomycetes; Micrococcales; Micrococcaceae. The record is from RNAcentral.
CCUGGUAGUCCAUGCCGUAAACGUUGGGCACUAGGUGUGGGGACCAUUCCACGGUUUCCGCGCCGCAGCUAACGCAUUAAGUGCCCCGCCUGGGGAGUACGGCCGCAAGGCUAAAACUCAAAGGAAUUGACGGGGGCCCGCACAAGCGGCGGAGCAUGCGGAUUAAUUCGAUGCAACGCGAAGAACCUUACCAAGGCUUGACAUGUUCUCGAUCGCCGUAGAGAUACGGUUUCCCCUUUGGGGCGGGUUCACAGGUGGUGCAUGGUUGUCGUCAGCUCGUGUCGUGAGAUGUUGGGUUAAGUCCCGCAACGAGCGCAACCCUCGUUCCAUGUUGCCAGCACAUAAUGGUGGGGACUCAUGGGAGACUGCCGGGGUCAACUCGGAGGAAGGUGAGGACGACGUCAAAUCAUCAUGCCCCUUAUGUCUUGGGCUUCACGCAUGCUACAAUGGCCGGUACAAUGAGUUGCGAUACUGUGAGGUGGAGCUAAUCCCAAAAAGCCGGUCUCAGUUCGGAUUGGGGUCUGCAACUCGACCCCAUGAAGUCGGAGUCGCUAGUAAUCGCAGAUCAGCAACGCUGCGGUGAAUACGUUCCCGGGCCUUGUACACACCGCCCGUCAAGUCACGAAAGUUGGUAACACCCGAAGCCGGUGGCCUAACCCUUGUGGGGGGAGCCGUCGAAGG